RNAcentral lists this ribosomal RNA (2133 nucleotides) under Aquitalea pelogenes. RNAcentral's name for it is "bacterial LSU rRNA". It matches the Rfam family "Bacterial large subunit ribosomal RNA", at positions 14 to 2189 of the family's 2925-position model. The record is from RNAcentral. Lineage: Bacteria; Pseudomonadati; Pseudomonadota; Betaproteobacteria; Neisseriales; Chromobacteriaceae.
AGUGCAUCUGGUGGAUGCCUUGGCGAUCACAGGCGAUGAAGGACGUGUAAGCCUGCGAAAAGCGCGGGGGAGCUGGCAAUAGAGCUUUGAUCCCGCGAUAUCCGAAUGGGGAAACCCACCCGCAAGGGUAUCCCGUACUGAAUACAUAGGUACGUGGAAGCGAACCGAGUGAACUGAAACAUCUAAGUAACUCGAGGAAAAGAAAUCAACCGAGAUUCCGUCAGUAGUGGCGAGCGAACGCGGAAUAGCCUGUAUGUGAUAGAGAUUGAGAUAGUGGAAGGACCUGGAAAUGUCCGCCAUAGUGGGUGAUAGCCCCGUACACGAAAUUUCAUUCUUGGUACUGAGCAUACGAAAAGUAGGGCGGGACACGCGAAAUCCUGUCUGAAGAUGGGGGGACCAUCCUCCAAGGCUAAAUACUCGUGAUCGACCGAUAGUGAACCAGUACCGUGAGGGAAAGGCGAAAAGAACCCCGGGAGGGGAGUGAAAUAGAACCUGAAACCGGAUGCAUACAAACAGUGGGAGCCUCGCAAGGGGUGACUGCGUACCUUUUGUAUAAUGGGUCAGCGACUUACGUUCAGUAGCAAGCUUAACCGCAUAGGGGAGGCGUAGGGAAACCGAGUCCGAAUAGGGCGUCUUAGUUGCUGGGCGUAGACCCGAAACCGAGUGAUCUAUCCAUGGCCAGGAUGAAGGUGCGGUAACACGCACUGGAGGUCCGAACCCACUAGUGUUGCAAAACUAGGGGAUGAGCUGUGGAUAGGGGUGAAAGGCUAAACAAACUCGGAGAUAGCUGGUUCUCCCCGAAAACUAUUUAGGUAGUGCCUCAUGUAUCACUUCCGGGGGUAAAGCACUGUUAUGGCUAGGGGGUCAUUGCGAUUUACCAAACCAUGGCAAACUCUGAAUACCGGAAAGUGCGAGCAUGGGAGACAGACGGUGGGUGCUAACGUCCAUCGUCAAGAGGGAAACAACCCAGACCGCCAGCUAAGGUCCCAAAUGAUCAGUUAAGUGGUAAACGAAGUGGGAAGGCCCAGACAGCCAGGAUGUUGGCUUAGAAGCAGCCAUCAUUUAAAGAAAGCGUAAUAGCUCACUGGUCGAGUCGUCCUGCGCGGAAGAUGUAACGGGGCUCAAACUGAUAACCGAAGCUGCGGAUUUGCACGUAAGUGCAGAUGGUAGGGGAGCGUUCUGUAGGUCUGUGAAGGUGUCUCGUAAGGGAUGCUGGAGAUAUCAGAAGUGCGAAUGCUGACAUGAGUAGCGAUAAAGCGGGUGAAAAGCCCGCUCGCCGAAAGCCCAAGGUUUCCUACGCAACGUUCAUCGGCGUAGGGUGAGUCGGCCCCUAAGGCGAGGCUGAAAAGCGUAGUCGAUGGGAAACGGGUUAAAAUUCCCGUACUUUUGUGUAGUGCGAUGUGGGGACGGAGAAGGUUAGGUCAGCGGCCUGUUGGAAUAGGUCGUUCAAGCCGGUAGGCGUGAAGGGUAGGCAAAUCCGCCCUUCUUUAACGCCGAGAAGUGAUAACGAGGGUCUACGGACCUGAAGUGACUGAUACCACGCUUCCAGGAAAAGCCACUAAGCUUCAGCUACACAAGAACCGUACCGCAAACCGACACAGGUGGGCAGGAUGAGAAUUCUAAGGCGCUUGAGAGAACUCAGGAGAAGGAACUCGGCAAAUUGAUACCGUAACUUCGGGAGAAGGUAUGCCUGUUGUGGUGAACACCCUGCGGUGGGAGCUACGACAGGUCGCAGAGAAUCGGUGGCUGCGACUGUUUAUCAAAAACACAGCACUGUGCCAACACGAAAGUGGACGUAUACGGUGUGACGCCUGCCCGGUGCUGGAAGGUUAAGUGAUGGGGUGCAAGCUCUUGAUCGAAGCCCCAGUAAACGGCGGCCGUAACUAUAACGGUCCUAAGGUAGCGAAAUUCCUUGUCGGGUAAGUUCCGACCCGCACGAAUGGCGUAACGAUGGCCACACUGUCUCCUCCUGAGACUCAGCGAAGUUGAAGUGUUUGUGAAGAUGCAAUCUCCCCGCUGCUAGACGGAAAGACCCCGUGAACCUUUACUGUAGCUUUGCAUUGGACUUUGAAGUGGUUUGUGUAGGAUAGGUGGGAGGCUUUGAAGCAGGGACGCUAGUUCCUGUGGAGCCGA